This is a long non-coding RNA of Oreochromis niloticus (Nile tilapia), 2334 nucleotides long. RefSeq lists it as uncharacterized. NCBI's taxonomy places the organism in Eukaryota, Metazoa, Chordata, Actinopteri, Cichliformes, Cichlidae. The record is from RefSeq and is a predicted model, not a curated record. The transcript has 5 exons.
GCUAGAAAGUGAUUGUGAUUACCGUCCGCGGGAGCGCGCGUAGUUGCUUAAAGCUGUAGCGUCCAGAUUACUUAUGUAGUCAGCUACUUCUAGCAGAGUGAAGCUGACCCCCCACCCACUUGAAACGUAAAGGCAAAUAGGCGGAGCGGUUAGUGCUACGUUUGUGCUGAUUUGUGCAGGUAAAAUUAGCGUUUGUGCUGCUACGGUUUCCGAGAUAUUAAAAGUUAUAUUUUUUGCUGAUGACGUCACCAUCCCCCCAGACUGCUCCAAAACAAACCAAAAUGGUCUACUUUUUUAGUGCUACGUUUGUGCUGAUUUGUGCAGGUAAAAUUAGCGUUUGUGCUGCUACGGUUUCCGAGAUAUAAUGAUUUUAAUUAUUACGGCCUACGCUGUAUAACACCAGUGUCUGUGGCAGUGAGUUUCAGCAGCUGUGGAAUUUUGCACUUUUAUAGAAGACUGUUCACUUUUUCUAGGCUUGCUGCAUAUUAACUUUAAUUAGUUUACACUUUAGUAACACAAUUUAUUCAGCGGAAAGGUCGAUAUUUCUUUUGUUACCAGUGCAGAAACGUACACAAGGUAGGCUAAAGUUUUCUGUGGCAAAACUGAGUUUCAUUUGAAGUGAUUCACGUAUACCUAAAUUAUUAUUAUUUUUACAUAUCCAGUUGGCCUCUAUGAUUUUGUUUUGAAUUAUAUAUGUUCAUUAUUAUUAAUGUAGCUCUCUCAGAAAAAAUGAAGUGUUUGCUUUGAUAGGUUGUUUCCUACGUGUAGAAAACUGAAUAUUCCACAGCACCUAGGCCAGGGAUGUUCAACCUGCGGCUCUAAAGCCACAUGUGGCUCUCCGGCCCCUCCACUGUGACCAAGUAAGUUAUGUUUUAUUAUAAAGACAACAAGAAAGGGUUCUGUUUUAAUGAAAUAUCUGCAUUGACUAUUCACUGAAUGUACAAGGGUCUUAAAAGUGGUUUAAUGUUUCUUAGCUUCAAAUCUGUUUACUGUAAUUUUCAAGUUGGUUGCCCAUCUUUCCUAAUUUUCAAUUAUCAUGGAAAGGACUCAUGUAGCUGGCUUCAUUUUAACAAAUACUUUUUUCCGUUAUAAAGCUUUGAUGAUUCAUUUUCUUAUCAAAUCUAAAAAUUAACAUUUUUAUUUACAUUUCCAUAGCUUACACGAUACAACAACUCAUUUUCUAGAUAUUUAUAAGCUUUCUUUUUUAGGCUCUAGACAGGUUUUGUAGCAGCAGGGGAAAAGGGGCCCUUUGAACUGAAAAGGAUGCUGACCCCUGACUUAAGCCACCAGGUCAAGACACAACAAAUACAGAAAAAUUAUUGACAGAAAAAUGGAACGGUUACUUUCAAGGCUACGGGUGCAGGUGAAUGGGUGUGUAAAAGCAAAUAUGCAUCAGACUGACAAAGAAAAGAGUGUUAAACGAUUUUUAAUUUAGAACUUUAACUUUAUGUGCAAAACUGAACUUACUGAUAACACACACUAGUCAUUCGAACACAUGUAACUGUAAUGAACCAAAUAAAACAGAAACAUGCAGGCAGCACUCAUUAUACCGUGUAUAACGCAGCAUGGGGUUGUAUUUUUUUCUUUUCAGAUGCUCCUGUCACUCCAUUUCCCAGGUCAUCAUAGCACUCCCACACACACGGAGCUCUCCUGCAGUAUGCAGUGUAAUGGCCCAAACCAUCAGUGGUCAUCUUUCCGUGGAAAGCAAUUAAUGCCCUCAAAGUGAACGACUUUCCUUGGAGAACCAGGUUGGAGGGAAAUUCGUUCAGUGGAAAUUCUGUUUGGUUUGCAAAGAUGGAUUGGAGAGUGGCCUGAGGCAGGUAGACUCAGGUAGGCCAAGUCCUGCUUCCACAGCAGUGCCAAGAUGAGCCAUACCAGACUCUUUGAGGACAGAGAUGGCAGGAGAAACAAAUGGCACUUCCCUUGUCAUCCCUUUGCUGAGGUAGCAGUGCUGUGAAGAGCAGUGUUUGGUUUGUUGGGUCACACCAUCUGUGGCAAUGGCUUUCACCAGCUGCAGGACUGGGUUUUCACUGUCUUUCAGAACAGCAUUUUGAAAUGUUGAGCUGUCACAGAAGGCACAACAUAAGCACUGAAAAAAUGCAUCAAAAGCACAGUUUCAUCUGCAUGGAGCCAUUCGGUACAUGAAGAGAGGUAGGAAGUUCUCUUCCUUUUUUUGGGUGGAACAGCUAGGCCCCUCCCGUUCUCAACUGGAUCCCCAUCAGCCGGAAGAAUGUUUGUGGCAGCAUCAGAUCCCACAAACGGAACAAAUCCGCAUAUUUCCCUCGAUGAAGGAAAGAUGACGAGCAAUGAAGCGAUCGACUCGAACAGGCAAGU